This is a long non-coding RNA of Oncorhynchus tshawytscha (Chinook salmon), 1140 nucleotides long. The record is from Ensembl. Lineage: Eukaryota; Metazoa; Chordata; Actinopteri; Salmoniformes; Salmonidae.
GGGGGAUUGGCUGGCUGUCGACUCGCUCCCUCUCUCCCGACUUUCUUAGAGGCAGCGAGAACAGAGCAGGAGAUAUAGAGUUUGCCGCCCUCUUUGAUGCUGUUUUAUACAUUCACCCCACCAAGCCUCGGAGAGAGCGUUCUGAGACAAGGUGUUCUCCAGUCUCAGCCCAACAACGUACUUUCAAUACUUUUCCAUGUGAAAAAAGAGAAGACCUGCUGAGUGCCGACCUACUCCAGUGAUCAUGUACCCUGUGCCAUUCUGUUUGUAUUGUACCACAAUUCUCUCUGUGUGAGAAGCAAUGAUCAGCCUCUCAGCUCCAACAUGGAUGCCAACCAAUAUACACUCUAUUGAUAAUUUUCUUUGGAAAGGGAGAGGGAGGAAAGAAGAAUGAGAGAGAGAGAAAAAGAAAAGGCUUAUGCCCCUUUUGGUCUCCAAGGAGGAGGAUCUUCAUUAACCCCCAGGAAAGACGCAGAGGACACAGGAAGAAAGGAGGAGAGAGGAAGAGAGGAGAGAGCAGGGCAGAUCGGGGGAGAGGGCCACAGAGCAAUCACAGACCUCAUUAUGAACACUGAAAGACCUGGCCAGAUGAGAUGGAGGGGAGAGAGAGAGCGAGAGCCACCCGAGGGACACUGAACACACACAGCCUGCAGGCUACAGCUCCACACCAGACAGAGCAUGGGCUGUUCACUACAUUGGCACUUUGUGAUGGCACCUCCGCACUGUUCGUCCAACCAGGAUGAAGAGCAGUGCUGCCAGCAGGAAGAAGAAGACGGAGAAGGGAGCAAACAGGAAGGAGGUGGUAGACUGUUGGACACUGAGAGGAGUGUUGUUGCUGGGCAGCGUAGUCCUCCAGAGUGUCCAGUACCUGGGUCCAGACUACAUACAUCAUUAUUACAACCAGGAGACAUAGACCUGGAGAGAGGAGAGGGAGAGGGGGAGGAAGAGGGAAACAUUUAAACUCAAUAAAAGUUAAUAGAACAUAAAUGCGUCUCCUGAUUAGUGGCAACUUGUCAUUCAGGGCAGGUGGGGUUGCCUGUUUGCAUGUUAUUUUGGCAUUAAUACAUGUCACAUAUCAGUUUGAAAACAAUGUAAAAAAUAUAUAUAUAAUAAUGUUAAUAAAGCCGCAUACAAGCUUGG